Misgurnus anguillicaudatus (oriental weatherfish) is the source of this 379-nucleotide non-coding RNA. Lineage: Eukaryota; Metazoa; Chordata; Actinopteri; Cypriniformes; Cobitidae. The record is from RefSeq and is a predicted model, not a curated record.
UUGGCAAACAGGAUGAUGAAAGUGACGGCGUAACCAAUCAGAGCCCACUGCAUCCAGGCCGGGAACGGGCAGCCCGUGUAGAGGGAAUGAGCCGCGUGACUGAUGGUGACGUGAAACUGGAUCUAAACGAAAAAAAUGGAUACUUCUGAUCUUUUCGACAAAGGUUUCUGGUCUAAAACAGUCUCUCUUUCCAGGUGCUAUAUUUAAUUGAACUAAAAGGUUGAAACCUCAAAUGGUUGAUCACCAUUUUGGCCUCUGUCCUCACAUCCCCAAGGAAACAAGCCUGCCAUUAAGGGCAUUGGUUCAUGCCAAGCCGACAGCAUGAAGAAACUGUAAAGUACGUCAGUGAAAGGAAUUCAUCAAGAGAUUCGGUGAACUG